This 253-nucleotide ribosomal RNA is filed under the name uncultured bacterium. Its description in RNAcentral is "partial 16S ribosomal RNA". It matches the Rfam family "Bacterial small subunit ribosomal RNA", at positions 524 to 776 of the family's 1533-position model. The record is from RNAcentral.
UACGUAGGGGGCGAGCGUUAUCCGGAUUCACUGGGUGUAAAGGGAGCGUAGACGGCCAAGCAAGCCAGGGGUGAAAGCCCGGGGCCCAACCCCGGGACUGCCCUUGGAACUGCAUGGCUGGAGUGCGGGAGGGGCAGGCGGAAUUCCUGGUGUAGCGGUGAAAUGCGUAGAUAUCAGGAGGAACACCGGCGGCGAAGGCGGCCUGCUGGAUCGCGACUGACGUUGAGGCUCGAAGGCGUGGGGAGCGAACAGG